RNAcentral lists this ribosomal RNA (827 nucleotides) under uncultured microorganism. Its description in RNAcentral is "bacterial SSU rRNA". It matches the Rfam family "Bacterial small subunit ribosomal RNA", at positions 59 to 931 of the family's 1533-position model. The record is from RNAcentral.
AAGUCGAACGGAAUCUUAGGAUUUAGUGGCGGACGGGUGAGUAACGCGUGAGAAUCUGGCUUCAGGUCGGGGACAACAGUUGGAAACGACUGCUAAUACCGGAUGUGCCGAGAGGUGAAAGAUUUAUUGCCUGAAGAUGAGCUCGCGUCUGAUUAGCUAGUUGGUAAGGUAAGAGCUUACCAAGGCGACGAUCAGUAGCUGGUUUGAGAGGAUGAUCAGCCACACUGGGACUGAGACACGGCCCAGACUCCUACGGGAGGCAGCAGUGGGGAAUUUUCCGCAAUGGGCGAAAGCCUGACGGAGCAAUACCGCGUGAGGGAGGAAGGCUCUUGGGUCGUAAACCUCUUUUCUCAAGGAAGAAUAAUGACGGUACUUGAGGAAUAAGCAUCGGCUAACUCCGUGCCAGCAGCCGCGGUAAUACGGAGGAUGCAAGCGUUAUCCGGAAUGAUUGGGCGUAAAGGGUCCGCAGGUGGAACUGAAAGUCUGCUGUUAAAGAAUUUGGCUCAACCAGAUAAAAGCAGUGGAAACUACAGAACUAGAGUAUGGUAGGGGUAGAAGGAAUUCCUAGUGUAGCGGUGAAAUGCGUAGAGAUUAGGAAGAACACCAGUGGCGAAAGCGUUCUACUAGACCAAGACUGACACUGAGGGACGAAAGCUAGGGGAGCGAAUGGGAUUAGAUACCCCAGUAGUCCUAGCCGUAAACGAUGGAUACUAGGCGUGGCUUGUAUCGACCCGAGCCGUGCCGGAGCCAACGCGUUAAGUAUCCCGCCUGGGGAGUACGCACGCAAGUGUGAAACUCAAAGGAAUUGACGGGGGCCCGCACAAGCG